This 700-nucleotide ribosomal RNA is filed under the name Tyrannochthonius sp. 3561. Its description in RNAcentral is "partial large subunit ribosomal RNA". It matches the Rfam family "Eukaryotic large subunit ribosomal RNA", at positions 40 to 656 of the family's 3401-position model. Lineage: Eukaryota; Metazoa; Arthropoda; Arachnida; Pseudoscorpiones; Chthoniidae. The record is from RNAcentral.
AUAUUAUUAAGUGGAGGAAAAGAAACCAAAAGGGAUUCCCCCAGUAGCGGCGAGCGAAAAGGGACCGGCCCAAAGCCGAAUCCCGGGCCCUCUGGGCGUCGGGAAAUGUGGCGUAUGGGAGGCGGCUUAUUCCGCGCGUCGAAGGCGGCUCAAGUCCUCAUUGAACGAGGCAAAGACCGGAGCGGGUGCUAGUCCCGUACAGUCGCCUUCUUCGCGUUGAGCUACCGCCUUCCCGGGAGUCGGGUUGCUUGAAAGUGCAGCCCAAAGUGGGUGGUAUGCUCCACCUAAGGCUAAAUAUCCCCGAGAGACCGAUAGCAAAAAAGUACCGUGAGGGAAAGUUGAAAAGAACUUUGAAGAGAGAGUUCAACAGUACGUGAAACCGCUUAGAGGUAAACGGGUGGGCCCUCGAAGUCUUUAAACGGUAACGGUUCUGAUAGAGAUUAAAACCUCUAUAUUAUUUCGGUUACCGUCGACAAGAGGCCGCGACGGGUUGGUCGAGGGUCGGAAGGACGGUCAGGGGACAGUAUAAUCUCUCGCCACCCAGUGGCGCGGGGUUUACCCUGGCGGUAUAGCCGAUCUUCGUUGCCGACCCGGUAAGAGAGAGACCCUCGAACGGCGCGCUUCCGUGCAAACAUCUCCGCGGAGAUGGGAGCCGCAGAGGUCUGCGGUCAGUAGAUCGGGUCCCACCCGACCCGUCUUG